UCUCUCAAUAUUAUCACAUUGUUUGAAAUGUACAUAUGAUCAAUAAAAUCCUACAUAUGCAUUUUCUAUGAGAUGUGAUGUUUGAAUUUUGAGAUUGAUGUAUUUGAGUACAUAUUUAUGUAUACUCCUGGAAAUUUUGAUACUGAUUGAAAAAGACUUUGGCAACAUAGUGGCUGAUAGUUUACGUUUCAAGGUUCAAUAAAUAUUAUGGAUAUAUUGCUAUUGGUUAUUAGAAGCUAAGUGCAUCAACUUUGCUGUGCUGCAUAACCUAUCACAUCUUAGAAAAUUGACUUCUUUGAUCUGAGCUGGACUGUUAAUUUAAUUGUGAGUAUGUUAGUGGCUUAUGCUGCUAUUCUGGGCUAGGCUUCAUGAUCUCAGUUUGGAACCCAUAUGC
RNAcentral lists this long non-coding RNA (394 nucleotides) under Durio zibethinus. RNAcentral's name for it is "long non-coding RNA (DZIB_LNC001245)". The record is from RNAcentral. Lineage: Eukaryota; Viridiplantae; Streptophyta; Magnoliopsida; Malvales; Malvaceae.